Molecule: small nucleolar RNA, 107 nt
Organism: Lathyrus oleraceus (garden pea)
Lineage: Eukaryota; Viridiplantae; Streptophyta; Magnoliopsida; Fabales; Fabaceae
Source: RefSeq, a predicted model, not a curated record
AUAUUAUGAUUUGGGCAUCUGUACAAUAAAAUUUUAAAACUUUCCCACGAGUCAUCUAGGGAUUCAAUUUCCUCCUGCUCAAAAUUUGUAAUUUCUGCUCUUCGCUC